Molecule: transfer RNA, 75 nt
Filed under: Bacillota bacterium
Lineage: Bacteria; Bacillati; Bacillota
Description: Firmicutes bacterium (anaerobic digester metagenome) tRNA-Thr
Rfam family: tRNA
About the family: Transfer RNA (tRNA) molecules are approximately 80 nucleotides in length. Their secondary structure includes four short double-helical elements and three loops (D, anti-codon, and T loops).
Source: RNAcentral
GCUGGCGUGGCUCAGCGGUAGAGCAGUCGAUUCGUAAUCGACAGGUCGAGGGUUCAAGUCCCUCCGCCAGCUCCA